Gastrolobium bilobum is the source of this 1370-nucleotide long non-coding RNA. RefSeq lists it as uncharacterized. Lineage: Eukaryota; Viridiplantae; Streptophyta; Magnoliopsida; Fabales; Fabaceae. The transcript has 3 exons. The record is from RefSeq and is a predicted model, not a curated record.
GGAGGAAUGAAUGUGAAUGAAUUGCGAAGUCGAUAAAAGCUGGGGUUUCGGUUAUGCUACUCGUAACAUGGGGAACAAAAGAAGGUGCUGUAAUCUCAACGUUGAUUGGGUUAUUGGAGUUUAUGUUUAAUAUUUAUACAAGAGUUUAAAAGCUGAGUUGUUUGCAGAUAUCGUUUUGAUGUAAAAAUAUCUUUACUCUUUUGGUGCAGAAAUAGGAAGAUAUGUACUUUCUUUGUGGAAUUACUAGUGUUAGAAUGUAUAGUUAACAAAGAAAUUGUAAGGGUUUUUUUAGAGAGUUCGUGGUCAACUAGUAAGAACAUGUGAGACUACGAGAUGUAUGGUAGUGUGUUAUGAUUUCCAUGAGAUUUGCACCAGGCAAUAUCAACAGGUUCUGAACUGCACUAGGCGCAGCAAAACAUGUUCGGUUUGGCGAGAUGGGCUAAGUUUUACCGAUCACUUUCAAAAGAGGGGUGGGUCGAGCUGACUCGUUUUUUAGCAGGUUGAUGGCGGGAAGGGACGGGACGAGUCAGUGUCAAGCCAGUGAGCCAACCCGCCUUGCCCGUCAAAUGGGACGGGCCGAGUUUUUCAGCUCAUUCUCAAAAGUAGAGCAAGAAGGACUGUCUAGUUUCUUGACGGAUUGAUAGCGGGACGAAACAGACUGCACUCUUUGCCACCUCUACUUAGCACCAAGGAAUAUUUUAGAUGCUAAAGGCUAUUAGCGCUCGAUUCCAAAAAGAAUCCUUUGGAGAGAUUCAAACUAUUCGUGGAAUCGUGGUUAUCACGCUUGAUUGCUACUACCUUCAAUGUGAACUUCCGUUAGUUCGGUAAAAAUGAGAAAAUUGAAGAACCCGUGUGGGUUAAAAGGCUAUAUGUAAGAGAAUAUGGCCACUUGGCUGCAUUAAGAGGAUACUUGCAGUUAUGUGUCUAUCAAGCAAUGAAGUUGUGAAGAGAGGGAUCCUACAAUGCCCACCUAUCAAGCUAUGAAUUUGUGAAGAGAGCUAGGGAGGGGAUCCUAGAAUGCCGUAUCUAUCAAGAUAAGUAGAAGAGAAGGGUCCUACAAGAUGCACAAUACGUUUCAGAUAACUGCAGCUAUAAGAAGAAAAGAAUGACAUGGGAAAAUGAACUGAGUUAAGGAAACUGUCUUUAUAUUGCAUGAGACCUGGUAGGUCUCACCUAUUGCUGAAAUUUGAUUGGCUGUUUAUGAUAAAUAGUACAUAUUUAAAUAUUUUUGUAACGAGAGAAGAUUCACAACUAGGAAUUUAAAUAGGCUAUUGUAGGCUAGACUUUAAUUUAAAUAAAUUAGGCAUGUGUAAAAGUUCUCAAGAUUGGCCUGACUUUUUAGCAUGCGUAGGUCAUAUUACAAGUCUGGU